GGUUCCGUGGCCUAAUGGCUAGGGCGCUAGAUUUCGGUGAUAUAUAAAAAUAUCGGAAUUCUCUAGAGAUUGUCGGUUCGAGUCCGGCCGGGAUCG
Molecule: transfer RNA, 96 nt
Filed under: Nemania sp. FL0916
Lineage: Eukaryota; Fungi; Ascomycota; Sordariomycetes; Xylariales; Xylariaceae
Description: tRNA-Arg
Rfam family: tRNA
About the family: Transfer RNA (tRNA) molecules are approximately 80 nucleotides in length. Their secondary structure includes four short double-helical elements and three loops (D, anti-codon, and T loops). Further hydrogen bonds mediate the characteristic L-shaped molecular structure. tRNAs have two regions of fundamental functional importance: the anti-codon, which is responsible for specific mRNA codon recognition, and the 3' end, to which the tRNAs corresponding amino acid is attached (by aminoacyl-tRNA synthetases). tRNAs cope with the degeneracy of the genetic code in two manners: having more than one tRNA (with a specific anti-codon) for a particular amino acid; and 'wobble' base-pairing, i.e. permitting non-standard base-pairing at the 3rd anti-codon position.
Source: RNAcentral